This 523-nucleotide ribosomal RNA is filed under the name uncultured bacterium. Its description in RNAcentral is "partial 16S ribosomal RNA". It matches the Rfam family "Bacterial small subunit ribosomal RNA", at positions 899 to 1397 of the family's 1533-position model. The record is from RNAcentral.
ACUCAAAUGAAUUGACGGGGACUUGCACAAGCGGUGGAUUAUGUGGUUUAAUUCGACGGUACACGAAAAACCUUACCAAGGCUAGAUAUGCUAGUGAAAGACUGAGGAAACUCAGUAACUCCGCAAGGACACUAGCACAGGUGAUGCAUGGCCGUCGUCAGUUCGUGGUUUGAACUGUUCCCUUAAGUGGGGUAACGAACGCAACCCCUAUCGUCUGUUAUACGUGUCAGGCGAGACUGCCCAGCCCAAAGCGCACGAUCAUUAAAUUGAUCGCGAAUUGUGGGCUGGGAGGAAGGUGGGGAUGACGCCAGGUCAGCAUGUCCCUCUGAUGCUUUGGGCUACACACAUAAUACAAUGGGCAUUACAACGGGCAGCGACACAGCAAUGUUGAGCUAAUCCUAAAAAAGUGCCCUCAGUUCGGAUUGAGGUCUGCAACUCGACCUCAUGAAGCUGGAAUCGCUAGUAAUCGCGGGUCAGCCAAACCGCGGUGAAUACGUUCUCAAGUCUUGUACACACCGCCCGU